UUAGGAUGGCUACUAUCCAAACAACAACAGAAAACAGUAAGUGUGGGUGAAGAUGUGAAGAAAUUGGAACUCUAGUGCACUGGUGGAAGGAAGGUAAAAUGAUGUCUCCACUGUUGAAAAUAGUAUCGUGCUUCCUCAAAAACUUAAACAGAAUUACCAUGUGAUCCAGCAAUCCCACACCUGGGUAUAUACCCAAAGGAUUGAAAGCACAAUCUCAAAGAGGUGUUUAUUCACCCACAUUCAUAGCAGUGUUAUUCACAAUGGCCGAAAGUUGGAAGGAACCUAAGUGUUCACCAGUGAUGAAUGGAUACACCAAAUGUGGUCUACCCAUAUAGUGGACUGUUAUUCAGCCUAAAAAAUGAAGGAGAUUGUGCCGCAUGCUACCACAUGAAUGAACCUGGAAGACAUUGUGCUGAGUGAAUAAGCCAGCCACAAAAGAGCCAAGUUUACAUGACCAUGUGGUCCUCUUCGUGCAAGGAGGCUGCCAUGCAGCUCCAAACACUGCAGCAGCAUCAGAGUGAGAGCCGAGGCCCAGGGAUCCACCAUACUCCCGGUGAGCUACAAACACGGCCACGACCACGUGAGUGCCAGGAUCACCAUCUCUGCCCACCUGCCCCUUAAGGUGUCUCCUGUGACUGCCCUGUGGGUUUCCACGAGCCCCGUCCUGCACACCCAGAACAAGGAGGCUGUGGAGACCCUGCCUUUGGCAAUGACUGUAACUUUCACUGUCCACUUCCAUAACAGCUCUGGAGACAUCUUCCAGUCUCACACUUCGGUCCUCAACUUUGCCACUAACAGGUUGGGUGUGGGCGAUGCACAUUUCUCCUGCAAAGGCCUACCUGGGCGGUACCCAGAUCUGAUUGAUAGAGGCGACUGGAGGUGGCACAGAGAAGCUGGUGCCACCCAAGGAAGAUGGCCUGCCACACGAGACCACGCCAUGCAGGGCCACAGAGGGGGAGCACCACUGCCCUAGGGGGCUGCAGCCCAGCUCAGAGAAGACACAUCAGCAUUGGUCCCAGGAGGAAGGAGUAGGGCGAGGGCUGGGGCUCCACAGAGUGCCCUCGAGGGCCAGAAGGUUGUGUCCAGGUGUUGGUGACCCUUCCAACCGGGGCUUUCCACAGGCCCUGGGACAGACGUGUUCCAGGGACAGGUUUAGGGCAUUGCCUUAUGGGAAGAACCCAGGUUUGGAGUCAGGCCUGCCGCUAGCCCCAGCUCUGCCCUUCGUGGGGCUGUGAGCUUGGGCAAGGCAGGUCAACUCCCAAGCCUGUUUCCACACCUGUCAUGUAGGGAAUGUGGCCUAGUCCCCGGGGCCUUCAACUGACGGGGUGGUCGUGAGGCCCUUUGGCAUCUGCCGAGCUCGCACUGGCAGUAGUGGCCCUGUCAGCGUGGGGCCCUCAGCCCACCGUAGCAGUCCCUUUGCCCUCUUGUGGCAGGAGUGCCUCCGAGAAACCCAGUCGGGGCUCAGGUCAGAAGGGCGUGGAGGUGAGGGAAGCAGGGAGAGACCCCAGCCUCCCCCACCCGGGCCGAGCUCCCGCACCGAAGCGGCCGAAGCCAACGCUGACUGAGCACGUGCGCGCUCCGGGCGCCGCGCCAGGGGCUUCACCCCUGUGACGUCACUCAUCCGCGCGCCGGGCAUGCGCACCGUGGGGGGAAUGGGCGGAGGCCGCGUUCCUUGUCCCGGUUACACAGCUCGGCGGGACCUGCGCCCUCCUAGCGUGUCCGGUUCUCUGCUGGGAAGAGGGUCAAGAAGCUUCUGUGGCCCACGUUGCCCCCCGGGCCCCGGCUCUCCGUGCCGGAGUGUGGGGACGAUGAUGCCGGCAGGUCCUGGCCGAGCGCCGUGGGCUCCGUCAGGACAGACGACCGAGGGGGUCCGGCUUGCUCUGCCUGCCCGGGGGGUCUGUCCUCUGGGGCAGCCACUCGGUAAACUCGAGUCGGAGCCACAUCUGGGACCUCAGCCGGCAGAAAUCUUCGCUCAGCAGAGGCCCUAGACUGCGUGUCCCUCUCUGGAGUUGGGGGUUCUUUCUGGAGACUGAGAGCCCUCCUCCUUCCCUGUGCCUGGAGACGGCUGUGCACAUCGGGAAGGGCCCCACCAACAGCACCUGGGCUGCCCGCGCAGUCGGCGCGUGCCCGACGCUGCUCCGAGUGUGGGACACGGCACACCUGGGCCUCUCGACUUCGUCCCACUGCCAGGCCUGCAGGCCAUCUCCCCAGGGCUGUCUGGGGGCUUAUUGGUGGGGGAUGUCCCCACCAAGUGGCCACUGUUCUGGUCAGCCUGGGAGGUGGGGAGAUCCUGACCCAGGGAGACCUGUGGCGUGAUCGGCACUUGCAACUGCAGGGGCCCUGGGGAGGGGCUCAGUGCCCGUCACUGCUAGAAUCCGGCAGUGGAACCUAACAGUUGGCACAUUUAGUGCUGUGGCUCUGCGGGUUGGGCCAGCUAUUUGCAGAAGGUGCUCCCUGUGACUGUGACAAUAAAGCUGUGCUGUCCCGGAAAGAGCCUGUGAGAGUGGUCAGGGACAGGAUGGCAUGGGCUAAGGUGUGUGGGGUUAAAAGGCAGAGCCUGGAGGGCUAGAGCAGAGGGUGUGGGGGGAAAGUGGGGUCUGGCUUCAUGAUCAGAUCACGAAAUGCAGUGGAUUCUGGGCAGUCCAGUGCAGGUUAAGAGUGUGGACUCUAGAGCCAGGCUGCCUGGGUCAAAUCCCAGCUCUGCCACUGGGAGGCUGUGUGACCUCGGGAAAAUU
Lemur catta (Ring-tailed lemur) is the source of this 2735-nucleotide long non-coding RNA. RefSeq lists it as uncharacterized. Lineage: Eukaryota; Metazoa; Chordata; Mammalia; Primates; Lemuridae. The transcript is spliced from 3 exons. The record is from RefSeq and is a predicted model, not a curated record.